Molecule: ribosomal RNA, 157 nt
Filed under: uncultured bacterium
Lineage: Bacteria
Description: partial 16S ribosomal RNA
Rfam family: Bacterial small subunit ribosomal RNA
Source: RNAcentral
UGGAGAUCUCACAAUGGGCGAAAGCCUGAUGGAGCAACGCCGCGUGUGUGAUGAAGGGUUUCGGCUCGUAAAACACUGUUGUAAGAGAAGAAUGACAUUGAGAGUAACUGUUCAAUGUGUGACGGUAUCUUACCAGAAAGGAACGGCUAAAUACGUG